AUGGGCGUCCACGCGGCGCCCUUCCCCUUCCCCCUUCCCCGCCGGGAGGAGGACGACGCCAUCGUCCUCGGCCGAGGCGGCGACCGCUGGGGCGCCGCCGCGAUGCCGGCGGAGGACGAGGCGGUAGAGCAGUCGCCCACGGCGCCGCCCAUCUCCUCCUGCGGCCGCUACAUCCUGCACCGCGUCUGCCGCUUCGACACGCUCGCCGGCGUCGCCAUCAAGUACGGCGUCGAGGUGGCUGACGUGAAGCGGGUGAACGGCCUCACCGCCGACCUGCAGAUGUUCGCGCACAAGACGCUGCGGAUCCCGCUCCCCGGCCGCCACCCGCCCGCCCAACAUUCCCCUCCCUCCUCCUCCCCGGCCGCCGCCGCCGCCGCAAGGGAAUGGACUACGCGCCGGCCUCCCAAAAAUGCUGCCUUGGACCCGUUCCAGAAACCGCCGCGCAGCACGGUUUCGCCCUCCAUGAGCCUCUUGCAGGGAUACUACGGACUCGCGCCACCUCCCAAGCGGGACCUGACAGACGAAGGCACCGAAAUGGCGACGUCUGUCAAAGGCCAGCAUAGGAAAGCGAGAAGCAUAUCGACCGGCUUCCCUGGUGUAAACGGGGAUGCCGGCUGGGACACGGAUGAUGCUGAAAAGCAAAUAAGGCGGCGCCAGAAAGCCGAUCUCGAGCUGACAACGAUGAGGGAGGACAAUGGCGGUGCCCUGUUGCCGAGGACCGGGGAAGGCUUGGCGCUGAGGCCAAAGUCGGGAAGUCGGCCAGACAUGAAUAACAGCCAGCAGGAUCUCAUCGCGGCAGGGUUCGUGCCUUCGUAUGGCGAUGGGCUGCUCGCCGUCAGGAAAUCGUCCAGCACCCCUGAGUUCCAGGACUCAGACAACAACAUUGCCUCGGUGUGGCUGAGCAAGUGGAACCUGAAACCAGACGCCUUCGCGGUGCCUCUCCCGAUCCUGCUCCUGGACAGUCUUCCGAAGCCGCUCUUCGACAGUCUUCCGAAGCCCAUUGCUGCAUGGAGGAACAAGGCAGCCCGGGAUUAA
This 1035-nucleotide ribosomal RNA is filed under the name Triticum aestivum (bread wheat). RNAcentral describes it as "partial small subunit ribosomal RNA". The record is from RNAcentral. Lineage: Eukaryota; Viridiplantae; Streptophyta; Magnoliopsida; Poales; Poaceae.